CAAUAGCGUAUAUUAAAGUUGUUGCAGUUAAAAAGCUCGUAGUUGGAUUUCUGGUAGGAGUGACCGUUCCGAACUUGAUUGUUCGUGUAUUGUGUUUUCUCCAGCCAUCCUUGUGGAGAACUUUCCUUGCAUUAAUUUGUAGGGAUUGGGACCCGCAUCGUUUACUGUGAAAAAAUUAGAGUGUUUAAAGCAGGCAAUCGCUUGAAUACAUUAGCAUGGAAUAAUAAGAUAGGACUUUGGUACUAUUUUGUUGGUUUGCAUACCAAAUUAAUGAUCAACAGGAACAGUUUGAGGAUAUUCGUAUGAACAUGUCAGAGGUGAAAUUCUUGGAUUUUGAUCAGACGAACUACUGCGAAAGCAUUUAUCAAGGAUGUUUUCAUUAA
RNAcentral lists this ribosomal RNA (383 nucleotides) under uncultured eukaryote. RNAcentral's name for it is "partial 18S ribosomal RNA". It matches the Rfam family "Eukaryotic small subunit ribosomal RNA", at positions 592 to 976 of the family's 1831-position model. The record is from RNAcentral.